RNAcentral lists this microRNA (21 nucleotides) under Gadus morhua (Atlantic cod). RNAcentral describes it as "gmo-miR-11935-5p". Lineage: Eukaryota; Metazoa; Chordata; Actinopteri; Gadiformes; Gadidae. The record is from miRBase by way of RNAcentral.
ACCUGAGCUGGUCUGCAGACU